This is an RNA transcript of Nematostella vectensis (starlet sea anemone), 1448 nucleotides long. RefSeq lists it as uncharacterized. The record is from RefSeq and is a predicted model, not a curated record. The transcript is spliced from 6 exons. NCBI's taxonomy places the organism in Eukaryota, Metazoa, Cnidaria, Anthozoa, Actiniaria, Edwardsiidae.
AAGGUUAUAAAAAACGACAUGUUCAUUACAUAGGUACGCCCAGUUUUUUGUUUUUAGAUUCAAGUGUUUACAUCAGCAAUAUAACAACAUGACGUCUGCAUAUGACAUGAACAGACACAGUAUGUACCGCACUUUUAUAUACAUUUUUUUCAUUUUUUAGCUUGAAUAAUUGCUAGGUUCGAUAUUUUCUCUUUCGAAACUAUUUGUUCUUAAUCAGUCAUGCAUACUAUUAGGGAAACAACCGGAUAACAUACACAAAGGGCACAAAAUCCUAAUUGUUAGAGGUUCGCACUUAGACUGGUUCACAGACCAAAGGCUGUUACUCCUAUAGGGCACGGUACAUAUAUCUCAAACCUUUCUCUUCUUAAAAGUGAUCAUCCAAGACUUUUCACUCGUCAAGUAUCCCACCGCCGGCGUUGAACCCCCAUUUAACAAACCAGACCUGGCGGAUAUGUGGAAACUUCGAUCACUCAACAUUCAAGGCUUCUGUCGUUCCUCGGCAUAUCUCCUUCGGAAAAGCAGUUAACAUAACAGCGACAUUCACUCUAGGCGUCGACAUUCUUGCGAUGCAAUGUGAAUGGAAGCUUGUUCUUGAUGGGAUAAUACUGUUUUCAGGAUACUCUGCAGAUGUCUGCCAGAGACAUUUUGCACAUGUCAAAUGUCCAAUCCUCAAAGGAGAUACCGUGACGCUACAUGCUACAAAGGGAAUACCAUAUGUUAGUCUAUCAAAGGGCAUGUACGCUUUUGAGGGCACCUGCUUCAACCAGGAUAAAGCUUUGAUUGGGAGUGUAAAUGCAAAUUUUACUUGGAUUUAUUGAUUAUCAGCUUCAUGGUGAUGAUAAUGAUAUAGGACUGUGCUUUUUAGGAAUAUUUUUAAUGGUCUACUUGCAGUUAACUAUUCAUUGGCAUGCAUUUAAAGCCGAUAAGUGAAUACAAAUAAUUUAUUAUCCUUUUCCCAGCUAAGCUCGAUUACCAGUCGUUUCUGUGAGCCCUCUGGGGCGGAGGAUCGUAGAACCGCAACGCCUGACGUCAGCUGGAAAUAGAGCCUAAGGAGGAGGAGGAGUGAGAAGGAGGAGAAGGGGGUGGAGUGAGAAGGAGGAGUGAGGAGGAGGAAGAGUGGCCAGGGUUGACUCUCUAUCCACCCUUUCUAUCCCCCCCGAGAAACCGACAACGGAACCUUUGUUUGUAAUGCCAGACUUUACACCUGACGAACCCAUAAGCCAAGAGAAACAUAAUAACUUAAAAAAAACACACACACACGCUAGACGACGACGCUCAUAGGGUAGAGGGGCCACUCGUGAAAAAGCUUAAACAGCGUCGGUAUAGACUUCGAUCGGUAAAAAUUCCACUUUCCCCACAAUUUAGGGGAGGGUUGAAAUAAAAGGCGGUACAAAGAAGAAACAGUAGAUGCUAUCGAGUUUUAAUGAAAUACAAAAAUGUGGCCACAA